RNAcentral lists this long non-coding RNA (491 nucleotides) under Anas platyrhynchos platyrhynchos (common mallard). RNAcentral's name for it is "lncRNA (ENSAPLG00000023113.1)". Lineage: Eukaryota; Metazoa; Chordata; Aves; Anseriformes; Anatidae. The record is from RNAcentral.
GGGGUGUCCCCUAUAGGGCCCCUAUGGCCGUCCCCUAUAGGGAUUUGGGGCCAGCCCCCUGCCUAUAGGGUCCCCCAUAGGGCCCUUUCCAUACGCUCUCUCCCAUAGGGCGCCUCUCACCGGCACGACCCCGAAAUCGAGCGGAUUUUCCCCAAAUCGAGCGGAUUUUCCCCAAAAUCGAGCGGAUUUUCCCCAAAACUGAGCGGAUUUCACCCAAAAUCGAGCGGAUUUCACCCAAAUCGAGCGGAUUUCACCCAAAAUCGAGCGGAUUUUCCCCAAAACUGAGCGGAUUUCACCCAAAAUCGAGCGGAUUUCACCCAAAUCGAGCGGAUUUCACCCAAAAUCGAGCGGAUUUCACACAAAUCAAGUGGAUUUUCCCCAAAACCGAGCGGAUUUCACCCAAAAUCGAGCGGAUUUUCCCCAAAAUCGAGCGGAUUUCACCCAAAUCGAGCGGAUUUCACACAAAUCAAGUGGAUUUUCCCCAAAACUGA